Cydia fagiglandana is the source of this 958-nucleotide RNA transcript. RefSeq lists it as uncharacterized. The record is from RefSeq and is a predicted model, not a curated record. The transcript has 3 exons. NCBI's taxonomy places the organism in Eukaryota, Metazoa, Arthropoda, Insecta, Lepidoptera, Tortricidae.
GGCAAAUAGCUGAUAUUUCACAGCGUGGGCGCGGAGGCCGACUGCGGGAUCCACAGCGACCAAUCGCAGGACAGCUCGGGUCAGGGGACUUCGUUCAGCUCUACUGCAAGCUCGACAGUACAUAGCGAUUCCAUCGUGGUAGACCCGGCGUUGUACCUGGCAGACUAUUCACCACCGGGUGAACGAUCACAUUCCCCACUAGUAGCUCCACCAGAGGAAUCGAUUGAAAAUUUAGAAAUUGCAGCGCACGAAAACCAAAACCGGCCUGUAAACAGAAAUCGUAUCCCGCGGAGCAUGCACAGGGCGAGCUUGCCGGCCAGCGACGCCGACAUCAGCUCGAUCGACACGGACGUCGCCUCCGAUUAGUCAUUAUCGUUUAUUUUACAAGCAUCGGUUUAUUCGCACUUUGUUACUCUGCAACACUUAUUUAAUCUUAUAAAUACAGCGAUUCACCAAAGUGGACGAAUGAAAUGAGAGAUACGAAUUACAACCAAUACUUUCGUGCCCUUCCGCCAUGUCAAACUGAAAGUACAUUUAAGUAUAUUAAAGUAUCACCGAAAAUUUGGUGGGGGACAUCGUUCAUUUGGCUAAUUUAUUGUUUCUUGUUUAUUAAUGUGAUGUACAGUCGACUUCAAAUAUAUGUUUACACUUUUCACCUUAUUACAAAGGAGUUAGGCGCAAGUGUAAACAUACUUUUGACGUCGACUGCACACAUGAAUACUUCUGGUAUUUAUUUUAUUAAUUUACGCCCAUUUGGUAAAUCGACGUGUAUUUUUGUAUUUUAAUUCGAACUUGUCCGUCCAACAACUAUACAUACAUGUAUUGUGCAUACUUUCUAAGCGUUUAAUUAUUUGAGUUUAUCAUAGACCCGUUUUAAAUUUAAACCGUAGCUUAUUGCAACCAAAUUGUAAUGUUUACAACAUGUUUGAAGUUCCAAAUAAAUUUAAGUACUUAUUAA